Molecule: non-coding RNA, 649 nt
Organism: Oryza sativa Japonica Group (Japanese rice)
Lineage: Eukaryota; Viridiplantae; Streptophyta; Magnoliopsida; Poales; Poaceae
Source: RefSeq, a predicted model, not a curated record
CAAUCUAUUUUCUAGUGAAUAUGUUGCACUAUAGAUCAUUUGAAAUCGUGCAACUUGAUUGCUGAUUUGAGCUUCAUUGCAAUAUCUUUGAUUCAUGUUUAUACUAUAAUGCAUUGCUUGUUUACUAGUUGAUGGAUUUAUCGCCUUUGUUUUACAACACAUGUCCUCAAAUUGCUCCAGGUAAAAUUCAAAGCUCUCGAGAAAUAUAAAACAAAGGACAUGAAAAGCUUGAUGAGAUCAUUGUUAAAAAGGGAGAAGAGAUACAAAAUGUGCAUGUUUUUCUUGCAAUGGAAAGAGUUGUGUCUUAAUGCCUCGGGAGAGUGUUGCCGGUGAUGGAUCGGGAGUCAACUUGGGAGAAGUUGAUGAUCAAACGAUUAGGAGAUCAUACGGGAUACUUAGGCUAAAAAGUAACGCAUGUGGUGGUGAAGAUUCGAUAUGCAGAGGGAUUGUGUGCGUAUGAAAAGUGGAGUUAAAUUUGGAUAGGGUCUAAAUUUGAAAAGAUUGAAGUUUGAAUUGUAAAAAGAUAAGCUUUAUACUUGUAUGCGUAGGUUUUCUAUGGGAUUAGGAGUAUUUAUUUGAGUAGAAUUCGUGGUUUUUAGGAUACUAUCUUAUGAUAUAAAUAGAAGAGGGGCUGAGGCCUCUUGGUAUU